Esox lucius (northern pike) is the source of this 1131-nucleotide long non-coding RNA. The record is from Ensembl. Lineage: Eukaryota; Metazoa; Chordata; Actinopteri; Esociformes; Esocidae.
GGAGUUUACAAUUUUAGUUCCACACACAGAGAAGUUGCGUGCGCGGUUAAACUAAACUAUAUUCAUUUGGAUCACAACACGCACCAAGUAGAUAUUUCACAUUCAGUUUAGUUUCAGUUCUACAUAUUACUAACUGAGGCUGGGAAAGGGGAGGGGCUGUGGAACAGGUUGUGUUCAUUUCAUUUACAUCAAGCAUGGUAAUGUUUUAUUUACCUUCCCGUGAGUCUCAUCUCUUAAUGCCCCAUGGAACGUGGCGUGCAGUAGACUCUGGUGUAGGAGGCUGGGUAGCUAGCUACCUAAUGUACAUUGUGUUUAUUUCAUUGAAGUUUACAUAGUGUGGUUAACACAGUCACAUUGUUAUUAUUCAUUAAGGCCACAUAGGAGGUAUUGUAUGUAGAAAAACAUAGCCUACUUAGGACAUACAGAUGACAAAUUGACAAAUUAAAGGGAAAACCUAAAGAAAUCAAGGGUUCAUGUACCGCAACCCCACCAUACAAGUGUACUGAAUGAUACAACCCUACCAUACAGGUGUUGAUUUUAUAAUCUGUUUGCCUACUUAAAAAUUAUAAAUCAGAUAAUUAGUAUAAAAUGUUGAGUUGAGUCAGUCAACACAUCAACAAGCUGUCUAGGUCUUUUGAGAGGGGCAUACAUGGACAAAGAGAGGAACCUGGCCACAAAGGCGGGGCGUUCAGUGCCUGUUCAUGAAUCCUGGGAGCACACCAAUGACAGGUAACUCGCCCAAAGCAUUUAUGUUGUUAGCCUGGACGAUAUGGAAUUUCAGUCCAAUAUAACACAGCUUUCAACUAAUGAGCAUCCAGGAUUUGAAACAACCAGUGUAUAUUACAUUUUUAUUCUACUGAUUUGCUUGUCAGUCAGGAAGUCUAGACUGCUGAUCAAGUGAUACAUGCAGUUCAACCCUUACAAUACAAACUUGCUCAUCAAAAAGCCCACUUCACCACACAACAUAGCAACCAGGAAUACGCCAAGCGUCUUUAGUAAUUUCACACUUGCCCUAGGAUCUUUUUAUUUAGAUUUUAUGUCUUUGGAGGGAUUACACCAAACUCAGUUUACCAGGCACUGGAAUGUAGCAUCUCAGGUCCUGGUGUAGAUUAACACCAAGGGGGAGGGGGG